RNAcentral lists this ribosomal RNA (164 nucleotides) under uncultured bacterium. RNAcentral's name for it is "partial 16S rRNA". It matches the Rfam family "Bacterial small subunit ribosomal RNA", at positions 355 to 511 of the family's 1533-position model. The record is from RNAcentral.
UAGGGAAUCUUCGGCAAUGGGGGCAACCCUGACCGAGCAACGCCGCGUGAGUGAAGAAGGUUUUCGGAUCGUAAAGCUCUGUUGUAAGAGAAGAACGUGUGUGAGAGUGGAAAGUUCACACAGUGACGGUAACUUACCAGAAAGGGACGGCUAACUACGUCCAG